CAUUAUUGUAUUAUAACGUCUUUCAGAACAGAAAUAUGGAAAAAUUGAAGGUGUACGAAACUCUCAGACAACAACUGGAUAAUGAUGAGAUUACUCAAAAGGGCUUUGAUGCCAGAGUAAAGGGUGUAUUGCUUGAACGUGGUGCAGAAGGAACAUCAGAGACCAGCAAAACAUGGAAAAUUU
Sinocyclocheilus rhinocerous is the source of this 183-nucleotide long non-coding RNA. RefSeq lists it as uncharacterized. NCBI's taxonomy places the organism in Eukaryota, Metazoa, Chordata, Actinopteri, Cypriniformes, Cyprinidae. The transcript has 3 exons. The record is from RefSeq and is a predicted model, not a curated record.